Long non-coding RNA from Catharus ustulatus (Swainson's thrush), 318 nucleotides. RefSeq lists it as uncharacterized. The record is from RefSeq and is a predicted model, not a curated record. The transcript has 3 exons. Lineage: Eukaryota; Metazoa; Chordata; Aves; Passeriformes; Turdidae.
CCUGGGCAUGUGCCUCUGUAUUUUCCCUUUUUCUAACAUUAUUUUUGAGCUGUGAUAUCCUUACUGCAACUUUCAUCUCAGAAACACUCAAGAGUGUUGCUACAGAAUUUGGCUUUCCAGUAGCCGCUGCUCUCCUUGGCUGAUCUGACAGAUUUUCUUUGGAACAACUUCUUCCUGCACAGUUUAUUGACUGGAGAGAGCCGGAGCCACGCGGCCGAGGGAUCCACACACGGCACCUUCCUCUGCAAACAGCACAGGGCUCGCCUGGCAGUGACCCACACAUCCCAAAGCAGCGCUGAAGAGAUGGGCAGAUACUCU